This 843-nucleotide ribosomal RNA is filed under the name uncultured bacterium. RNAcentral's name for it is "bacterial SSU rRNA". It matches the Rfam family "Bacterial small subunit ribosomal RNA", at positions 58 to 916 of the family's 1533-position model. The record is from RNAcentral.
CAAGUCGAGCGAUGAAGCACCUUCGGGUGUGAAUUAGCGGCGAACGGGUGAGGAACACGUGAGAAAUCUGCCUUCAACACUGGGAUAACUCCGGGAAACCGGGGCUAAUACCGGAUAUGAAACCUGCGGGCAUCCGCGGGUUUGGAAAGUUUUUCGGUUGAAGAUGAUCUCGCGGCCUAUCAGCUUGUUGGUGAGGUAAUGGCUCACCAAGGCGACGACGGGUAGCCGGCCUGAGAGGGCGACCGGCCACACUGGGACUGAGACACGGCCCAGACUCCUACGGGAGGCAGCAGUGGGGAAUAUUGGGCAAUGGAGGAAACUCUGACCCAGCGACGCCGCGUGCGGGAUGAAGGCCUUCGGGUUGUAAACCGCUUUCAGCAGGGAAGAAGCGAAAGUGACGGUACCUGCAGAAGAAGCACCGGCUAACUAUGUGCCAGCAGCCGCGGUAAUACAUAGGGUGCAAGCGUUGUCCGGAAUUAUUGGGCGUAAAGAGCUCGUAGGUGGUUCGUCACGUCGGAUGUGAAACUCUGGGGCUUAACCCCAGACCUGCAUUCGAUACGGGCGAGCUUGAGUAUGGUAGGGGAGUCUGGAAUUCCUGGUGUAGCGGUGGAAUGCGCAGAUAUCAGGAGGAACACCAAUGGCGAAGGCAGGACUCUGGGCCAUUACUGACACUGAGGAGCGAAAGCGUGGGGAGCGAACAGGAUUAGAUACCCUGGUAGUCCACGCCGUAAACGGUGGGCACUAGUUGUGGGGACCUUCCACGGUCUCUGCGACGCAGCUAACGCAUUAAGUGCCCCGCCUGGGGAGUACGAUCGCAAGAUUAAAACUCAAAGGAAUUGACGG